GACGAACGCUGGCGGUGUGCUUAACACAUGCAAGUCGAACGGAAAGGCCCUGCUUUUGUGGGGUGCUCGAGUGGCGAACGGGUGAGUAACACGUGAGUAACCUGCCCUUGACUUUGGGAUAACUUCAGGAAACUGGGGCUAAUACCGGAUAGGAGCUCCUGCUGCAUGGUGUGGGUUGGAAAGUUUCGGCGGUUGGGGAUGGACUCGCGGCUUAUCAGCUUGUUGGUGGGGUAGUGGCUUACCAAGGCUUUGACGGGUAGCCGGCCUGAGAGGGUGACCGGCCACAUUGGGACUGAGAUACGGACCAGACUGCUACGGGAGGCAGCAGUGGGGAAUAUUGCACAAUGGGCGGAAGCCUGAUGCAGCAACGCCGCGUGCGGGAUGACGGCCUUCGGGUUGUAAACCGCUUUCGCAUGUGACGAAGCGUGAGUGACGGUAAUGGGUAAAGAAGCACCGGCUAACUACGUG
Molecule: ribosomal RNA, 468 nt
Filed under: uncultured bacterium
Lineage: Bacteria
Description: partial 16S ribosomal RNA
Rfam family: Bacterial small subunit ribosomal RNA
Source: RNAcentral